GAGGGCACAGCUCAGUGGUAGAGCACGUGCUUAUUAGCAAGCAUGACAUCCUAGGUUCAAUCCCCGGUACCUCCA
Molecule: transfer RNA, 75 nt
Filed under: Camelus bactrianus (Bactrian camel)
Lineage: Eukaryota; Metazoa; Chordata; Mammalia; Artiodactyla; Camelidae
Also listed under: 1 other name
Rfam family: tRNA
About the family: Transfer RNA (tRNA) molecules are approximately 80 nucleotides in length. Their secondary structure includes four short double-helical elements and three loops (D, anti-codon, and T loops).
Source: Rfam by way of RNAcentral